RNAcentral lists this ribosomal RNA (595 nucleotides) under Bacillus pumilus. Its description in RNAcentral is "bacterial SSU rRNA". It matches the Rfam family "Bacterial small subunit ribosomal RNA", at positions 173 to 747 of the family's 1533-position model. The record is from RNAcentral. Lineage: Bacteria; Bacillati; Bacillota; Bacilli; Caryophanales; Bacillaceae.
UUCCUUGAACCGCAUGGUUCAAGGAUGAAAGACGGUUUCGGCUGUCACUUACAGAUGGACCCGCGGCGCAUUAGCUAGUUGGUGGGGUAAUGGCUCACCAAGGCAGACGAUGCGUAGCACUCGACCUGAGAGGGUGAUCGGCCACACUGGGACUGAGACACGGCCCAGACUCCUACGGGAGGCAGCAGUAGGGAAUCUUCCGCAAUGGACGAAAGUCUGACGGAGCAACGCCGCGUGAGUGAUGAAGGUUUUCGGAUCGUAAAGCUCUGUUGUUAGGCAGAAGAACAAGUGCGAGAGUAACUGCUCGCACCUUGACGGUACCUAACCAGAAAGCCACGGCUAACUACGUGCCAGCAGCCGCGGUAAUACGUAGGUGGCAAGCGUUCAGUCCGGAAUUAUUGGGCGUAAAGGGCUCGCAGGCCGGGGUUUCUUAAGUCUGAUGUGAAAGCCCCCGGCUCAACCGGGGAGGGUCAUUGGAAACUGGGAAACUUGAGUGCAGAAGAGGAGAGUGGAAUUCCACGUGUAGCGGUGAAAUGCGUAGAGAUGUGGAGGAACACCAGUGGCGAAGGCGACUCUCUGGUCUGUAACUGACGCU